This 394-nucleotide ribosomal RNA is filed under the name uncultured bacterium. RNAcentral's name for it is "bacterial SSU rRNA". It matches the Rfam family "Bacterial small subunit ribosomal RNA", at positions 775 to 1169 of the family's 1533-position model. The record is from RNAcentral.
GGAUUAGAUACCCGGGUAGUCCAUGCCGUAAACGUUGGGAACUAGAUGUAGGGGCCAUUCCACGGUUUCUGUGUCGCAGCUAACGCAUUAAGUUCCCCGCCUGGGGAGUACGGCCGCAAGGCUAAAACUCAAAGGAAUUGACGGGGGCCCGCACAAGCGGCGGAGCAUGCGGAUUAAUUCGAUGCAACGCGAAGAACCUUACCAAGGCUUGACAUAUACCGGUAAAGCGCAGAAAUGUGCUCCCCGUAAGGUCGGUAUACAGGUGGUGCAUGGUUGUCGUCAGCUCGUGUCGUGAGAUGUUGGGUUAAGUCCCGCAACGAGCGCAACCCUCGUUCUAUGUUGCCAGCACGUUAUGGUGGGAACUCAUAGGAGACUGCCGGGGUCAACUCGGAGG